CCUACGGUAGGCAGCAGUGAGGAAUAUUGGUCAAUGGGCGGGAGCCUGAACCAGCCAAGCCGCGUGAGGGAAGAAGGUACAGCGUAUCGUAAACCUCUUUUGUCAGGGAACACAGUCGGUGACUAGUCCACCGAUGAGAGUACCUGAAGAGAAAGCAUCGGCUAACCCCGUGCCAGCAGCCGCGGGAAUACGGAGGAUGCGAGCGUUAUCCGGAUGUGUUGGGUUUAGAGGGGGAGCAGGCGGCCUGUUAAGUCAGCGGGAAAGUCCCGGAGCUCCACCCAGGGGAGCCGGUGACACUGGCGGGCUGGAGUUGGAGAGAAGUACGCGGAAUGCGCGGUGUAGCGGUGAAAUGCUUAGAGUGCGCGCAGAACCCCGAUGGCGAAGGCAGCGGACCGGCUCCACACUGACGCUGAGGCACGAAAGCGUGGGUAUCGAACAGGAUUAGAUACCCGUGUAGUC
This 459-nucleotide ribosomal RNA is filed under the name uncultured bacterium. RNAcentral describes it as "partial 16S ribosomal RNA". It matches the Rfam family "Bacterial small subunit ribosomal RNA", at positions 338 to 795 of the family's 1533-position model. The record is from RNAcentral.